AGACUUCUUUGAGCAACCCGAGGGGAAGAUAGACCACCUAAUCGGUGAUGGAUCCGUGAUGAAAGAAGAUGGAGUUGUUUGAUUUUAUUUUACUUGUUUAUAUUAGUGAAUGAAUAAACUAAUAGCCAUUAGUAAUAACUCGUAUUAGUUAGUUCACGAUAUAAUGUUAGUAUUAGUUCUUUAGAAUGUAUCAAUAUGCUC
This 201-nucleotide long non-coding RNA is filed under the name Nicotiana benthamiana. RNAcentral describes it as "long non-coding RNA (NBEN_LNC003214)". The record is from RNAcentral. Lineage: Eukaryota; Viridiplantae; Streptophyta; Magnoliopsida; Solanales; Solanaceae.